Molecule: long non-coding RNA, 528 nt
Organism: Folsomia candida
Lineage: Eukaryota; Metazoa; Arthropoda; Collembola; Entomobryomorpha; Isotomidae
Exons: 2
Source: RefSeq, a predicted model, not a curated record
GGUUAUAUAAAUCACCAAUAUGCAUAUAUAAAUCCGGCCAUAACCAAGUUCAGGAUCAUUACCAUAAGAAAUACAGCCAUGGCUAAAAUUAUCUUUCUAACUUUGGUAAUUGCGAUGGUCGCUGUUCCAUGCAAUUCUCAGUUGGGCGGCUAUUGCCUUCUUCCAUGCGACUGGCAACCCCCUCCAGUCCUUUCGGCAUGUAACCCUUCUCCAACGGCAAUUCAGGCGAAAUGCUCAUGCAAAAUGUACUCUGGUAGCGAAGCAAUUUGCACGUCGGGCACUGUUUGCGAUUUCUUCCGGGGCUGUCCUGCAUGGGCUCCUCCGUGCCCAAUUGGCACCUUAGCGGGGCAGAUGUGUAUUUGUGGAGCUCCAUCCAUUAAUCAGGCCACGCUACAUUGCGGAACGGGACAAACGUGCACGACGACGGGUGGGCUAAACCAGUGCAAGUAAGAUGCAUUCGACAAUGAUUUUAGAAAAAUGUUGUACAGUGGAACGAUUCUUACUGACUAAUAAAUCAAAUGCACUGAA